AAAACAUGACAAAUAAACAAAAUCAAAAUAAUUAUAUAUCUAAUUACAUAUUUUAUAGUUAUAGAAUUUAAAUUAAUAAAUUAUGGACUCAACCAAAAACUAUUAAUAAAUUAAUGACUCAGCUUAAACAUAAUUAAAACAUGACAAAUAAGUAAAAUUACCUAAAAUCAUGGAAAUCAUGACUAAUAAGCUAAAUCACUUCAUAAAUAAUUCGUUUUUAAUUAUAUAUAAAAUUCAUUAAGGAUAUUUUUAAAAUUAAUAAAUUAAUGAUUCAGUUAAAAAUUAUUAAUAAAUCAAUGAUUAAGCUAAAACCUAAUAAAAACAUGACAAAUAAGAAAAAUUGACUAAAAUUAUGGAAAACAUGACAAAUAAACAAAAUCAAAAUAAUUAUAUAUCUAAUUACAUAUUUUAUAGUUAUAUUAUUUAAAUUAAUAAAUUAUGGACUCAACCAAAAACUAUUAAUAAAUUAAUGACUCAGCUUAAACCUAAUUAAAACAUGACAAAUAAGUAAAAUUACCUAAAAUCAUGGAAAUCAU
Molecule: long non-coding RNA, 536 nt
Filed under: Brassica napus (rape)
Lineage: Eukaryota; Viridiplantae; Streptophyta; Magnoliopsida; Brassicales; Brassicaceae
Description: long non-coding RNA (BNAP_LNC009814)
Source: RNAcentral